AUCUUAUUAGUAUAUAAGUAUAUUUAACUUCCAAUUAGAAGGUUUUGUAAUUAAAUAAGAUA
Molecule: transfer RNA, 62 nt
Filed under: Chilecicada sp. PL492
Lineage: Eukaryota; Metazoa; Arthropoda; Insecta; Hemiptera; Cicadidae
Description: tRNA-Gly
Source: RNAcentral